ACCUUAUGGAACUUAAUGAAGGGGGUAAGUUCAGAUGAUUAUUAUAUGAUGGGUUUCAUUACAUAUUACUUCUUUCUUGCAUUUCUAUGAGGAGAGGGGUCAAGGCACGUAACUAAACAAUAUUAGAAGGAUAGAAUUUAAGGUCUUAAUUUUGAAGAUAGCUAUUGGUGGUUCAAAAACUAUGAUAAUGGGCUUUAAAUGUGCAAAGAUUUGUUUCAAGUAUAGAGAUACACCCCCAAAACAAAUCUGAUGACGCUUCAGAAGCAUCUGAAUUAGAUUUUGCAAGUGGACAAAGUUUUAAUAAAGAACUGGACACUUAAAAUUGCUCACUGAACUGCUGAGAUUAAGAUCAGCGAACUAAACAUUGAUCAUCAAAUUAGUUUCUUUCAGAUGAAAAUGACUUGUCACGACAGAAACUCUUGUGAUCUACAAUUCAUCUUUAACAAUUCGAGAUACAUUUCUGCUCUAAGAAAUGUUAAAACUUUUCUAUGACCCAUGUACUAGGAUGGUUGCUUCUGUUGUCUUGCACUAUUAUCAUUCUAAGUGGUUCACGUGGGAUCCAGCCUCAAAAUGCUGCCGUCUUAGAGUUUGACAAAUUGGAUUGUUGGACCUGGAUGUGCAGCACACCUCUGUAGUUAGCUGAAAUUGCGUUUCAAAGUGUUUUGUCAUACCAAUUUCCUGUAAGAUGGAGAGUAAUUUUAAUUACUUUGCACUUUGGCAAGUUAUUAAUGAAAGGUAGCUUUUUCUUGUAAAUAAGCUGCUUUUGCAGGAUUGCCACACUUUCUCAUUAGAGUGGAUAAUUUAGACUUGAACAUAAAUCCUUUUCUGCAAUGGUUUUGAUGCCUAUUUCUCAGUUCUAAUUAACUUAAUUCUUUUCUACAGUUAUAAUGCUCUCUGGCUUGAAAUGCAGCUAUGCAAUAAAAUGGGAAACGUAUACAGGACUCAGAAUUUGUUGUGCUUGACUCCUUAAGUGAAUGGAAACCCACUGUGACAGUUGAUCAAUUAUAUAAGACACCUUUGCCUAACCCUUGAAUUAAUUCUGUUUCCUGGUUGAGAUGUUUGGAUCCUGACACAACCUAAUCUCUCUACUUUCUUUCACUCAAUAGCAGAAUAUUAUGAGUGAUGGUCAUGUUCCUCUAGCACUUGUGUUUUCUUUGCAAAUGUUUGAGUUUUAAAAGUUCCCUUUCAAGCUUUCACUCACAAGAGGUGUGAUAUAUAAUUGUUUGAACUUAACCCAUUAUUUCAUUUCCUUUGAAAAUUUAGUUCAGUUCAUAAUUGUUAUUAGAGUGUCAGUUGAUGGCAUCAUUUUCAAAUUUAUUGAUCAUUUUGGUAAUUCUAUUCUUGCACAAAAUCCUCUCUAGUUUUUGGAUCUUCUGGAAAUGGA
This 1384-nucleotide unclassified non-coding RNA is filed under the name Hevea brasiliensis (rubber tree). Lineage: Eukaryota; Viridiplantae; Streptophyta; Magnoliopsida; Malpighiales; Euphorbiaceae. The record is from RNAcentral.